GCCUGACAGAGCAGGGUGGGGAACGUGCUGCUGAUUCCUGCUUUUCCUUUGCAAACUGAGAGCAGUGAGGAAGUUGCUGACAGCCUCUCUGCAGGUUGAUGCAGCUUAUGCCCAGGUUGUACCUGGACCUGAUGAAGCCGGGCUGGAUUUCCAGAGCUCGUGUGUAAGCCUCCACAGCCUCCUCACUGCGGUCCCCGUUGGCCAAGGUUGCCCCAAGGCGGUUCCACAACGUAUAGUCCUGGGAUGGCAUAAAAGAUAAAGCCUUCAGUCAUUAAAUGAGGAUAACCACUGCAUUUACCUUUCAUCUGCUGUCUUAGACAUCCUCCUGUGUCUGGAACUCCCCAUCACACAAGUUUCUGGCAACUGCAGGAGAACUGGCAUCAUUUGCUUAACCACCAGCACUGAGAUGUUCAAGAGGAGAUUCCCUGUGCUGCCUUCCCAGGUCACAGCACAGCACAUCCCACCCUGAGGAUCAGCAAGUGGGAGCAUCUAAAGCAUUUCCAGCAGUGGCAAUCUGAAAGCAAGUUCCCUCCUUUCCUGCCAGGAGCAAAUGUGUGUGACACCAGAAACGUCUCCUGUGCCUCAGCAGCAGUUGUUGAUGAAGAAUUUCUUUGACCUGGAAAUAAAAAAUGCCUUCCAUGCUUGGUUUAUGAAAGAGCUAAUUUACUGAUUUUGUCCAUUUUAGCCUUGUAUGCUGAGACCAGAUUUUCUUGUGUGUGCAACAAAAUCCCAAGGAACCAUGGUAGAAACCCUUCAUUUUACCACAGCAUAUCAUGAAAAAACCCCUACAAAUCAGAUUAAUUACUUCAACAAUAAAUUCUCUUUCUAGCUAGAAGCCAGUAUCAGACUUAGGCAUAGUUCUGUUUCUCAUCAGCCACUAUUAAUCUAGAAUUGUUCAGCUGUCAGCAUUGGAAUUAGAAUGGUCUAUAGCUUGAGUUAGAAGAAUAUUAAAAUACAUGACUAAAAUUUAAAUCUAAACUGAAACAUCCCUAAAGUUUUCUAGAUGGUUUGGAGACUAAUGAGCCUGCAGUGCUGAAAAUGCUAAAAAUAACCUGUUUUGAGGAACUAGCUUCACAGCUUCAUCCUCUGCACCCUAAGAACUCAUUUCAGUGGCUGUUACAUAAUUUAGCCUGAAAUUCUGUCCUUGCUGGAAUGGAGCUGUCUUGGCUCUUUGUGGGAUUUUGAAGGGUUGCCCAUAGAACCCCUGAGAAGAUAAUGAAGAUAAUGAUGCUCCAGACCAAUGCUUAUAUCCAAUUUUUUGUGGAGUUCUGCUAAAAAAUCUGUGUUGUACUUUGUGUCUAGACAGGAUCAGUUUGGACUAGUGGUAUAGGACAACACUCAAGAGAUGUUUUAGAUGUUGGAAAUGCAGAAAUCAGUGAAAAAAACCCCAGAAGUGCAAUAGGGGAACUAUCCAAAUUCUUCCGUCUUUUCAAACCAAAUAGAUUUACCAGGAUACAAGAAUACUCCUGUGUUAAACAUUCUGCCACUGGUUGUAAAAAUGUGAAAAUGGUGCAUGGUUGGUGCUUGUGCACAGCUCUGCUUUACAGCAGGUGAUUGUGCUGUUGCUCUCCUUUCACACGAGAGACUUGGUUUGUGUCUGGGUGUAAAGAACUGAUGGCACACAAUUCCCUCUUUAACUUGUGGUUUGGAAAUUGCUACAUUUAUGGGGCAUUUACCCAUUUGCUUUAGCAAUAAAA
Pyrgilauda ruficollis (rufous-necked snowfinch) is the source of this 1697-nucleotide long non-coding RNA. RefSeq lists it as uncharacterized. The transcript has 4 exons. The record is from RefSeq and is a predicted model, not a curated record. NCBI's taxonomy places the organism in Eukaryota, Metazoa, Chordata, Aves, Passeriformes, Passeridae.